GCCCUUCUGGCGCAAUGGUAGCGCGUUAGACUUCUAAUCUAAAGGUUGCGAGUUCGAGCCUCGCGAGGGGUU
Molecule: transfer RNA, 72 nt
Filed under: Scedosporium boydii
Lineage: Eukaryota; Fungi; Ascomycota; Sordariomycetes; Microascales; Microascaceae
Also listed under: 1 other name
Description: tRNA-Arg
Rfam family: tRNA
About the family: Transfer RNA (tRNA) molecules are approximately 80 nucleotides in length. Their secondary structure includes four short double-helical elements and three loops (D, anti-codon, and T loops).
Source: RNAcentral